AGAGUUUGAUCCUGGCUCAGAACGAACGCUGGCGGCGUGGAUAAGACAUGCAAGUCGAACGAGAUUUUUUUCUGUAGCAAUACAGGGAAAAGUCUAGUGGCGAACGGGUGCGUAACACGUGGGCAAUCUGCCUUAAAGUGGGGGAUAGCUCGGCGAAAGCCGAAUUAAUACCGCAUGUGAUCAGGGGAGACAUCUUCCCGAAAUCAAAAGUGGCGCAAGCUACUGCUUUUUGAGGAGCCCGCGGCCUAUCAGCUAGUUGGUGAGGUAACGGCUCACCAAGGCUUUGACGGGUAGCUGGUCUGAGAGGACGACCAGUCACACUGGAACUGAGACACGGUCCAGACACCUACGGGUGGCAGCAGUCGAGAAUUUUUCUCAAUGGGGGAAACCCUGAAGGAGCGACGCCGCGUGGAGGAUGAAGGUCUUCGGGUUGUAAACUCCUGUCAUUUGGGAACAAGUCGUACGUAGUAACUAUACGUGCGUUGAUAGUACCAGAAGAGGAAGGGACGGCUAACUCUGUGCCAGCAGCCGCGGUAAUACAGAGGUCCCAAGCGUUGUUCGGAUUCAUUGGGCGUAAAGGGUGUGUAGGUGGCGCCGUAAGUCGGGUGUGAAAUUUCGGAGCUUAACUCCGAAACUGCAUUCGAUACUGCGGUGCUUGAGGACUGGAGAGGAGACUGGAAUUCAUGGUGUAGCAGUGAAAUGCGUAGAGAUCAUGAGGAAGACCAGUGGCGAAGGCGGGUCUCUGGACAGUUCCUGACACUGAGACACGAAGGCCAGGGGAGCAAACGGGAUUAGAUACCCUAGUAGUCC
Molecule: ribosomal RNA, 810 nt
Filed under: uncultured bacterium
Lineage: Bacteria
Description: bacterial SSU rRNA
Rfam family: Bacterial small subunit ribosomal RNA
Source: RNAcentral